Thalassophryne amazonica is the source of this 104-nucleotide long non-coding RNA. RefSeq lists it as uncharacterized. The record is from RefSeq and is a predicted model, not a curated record. Lineage: Eukaryota; Metazoa; Chordata; Actinopteri; Batrachoidiformes; Batrachoididae. The transcript is spliced from 3 exons.
UAUGGGGUGUUGUGAACAUUUUCAGUGGCAAGUUGAGACUGAAACAGGAAGUGCCCAAUUUUGAGCCCACGGUGAAAGAGGAAAUGUCAAUUGUUGAACACUUC